Molecule: long non-coding RNA, 2501 nt
Organism: Ahaetulla prasina
Lineage: Eukaryota; Metazoa; Chordata; Lepidosauria; Squamata; Colubridae
Exons: 3
Source: RefSeq, a predicted model, not a curated record
GAAGUAAGUCUCACUAAAUUCAAUGCUAGGAUUGCAGCGGGGAAAUAUUCGCCUGGAUCCAGUAAACUCUUCCCCACGAGCAAAAAUCACCUUGAAUUCACCCGAAUAUUUCUGCAUAGAGGUUCCAUAUGCAAAAAGGUGAUUUAAUAAAGGGAGGGGGGAGAGUCCACAAUUCUGAUUUACUCGGAAGCAAGUCUCACGAAGUCCAACGUUUAGGAUUGCAGCCGUGGAAACAAUCGCCACGAUCAAAAGGUCGCUGAAUUCAUCCGAAGCUGGGAGGCUGGCAACUGGCUUUGCAGGAAACAAUAACUUAGCUGUGAUCCUUAAAUUUAACUCGGGGUCAUCCGUCGCGUGCAGAAGGGCGGAAGAGCGAACCAGGCGCUGUCGGCAGAAAUGUGCGCGGCUGAGAAGCGAAGCAAAAGACGGGACUUUGUGAAAGGCGGGCGACAGGUCUGAAGCGGGGAGAAAACCAGAGGCGCAGAGCAGAUGGGAAGGCAAGGCUGGAAAACCCGGAUUCAGCGCAUCGCCCGAAGACGGUGCCAAGCGGAGUCACCGGGACUCCUCGGCUGAAACAGGCGGGACGGCGGGUCUUUUUUUGCGCGGGGGGUAGGGGGGUCUGCCAAGUCCGUCCAAGCAGAUCGACGCGAGAGGGUCCUUGGUGCUCUCCCAGCUUGCCGGUUUCCUUGCAGGCGUUUCGUUUCCCCAAACUGGGCAACAUCAUCAGUGCUAGCGGCGUCGCCUAGUUUGGGUAAGGAAACGCCCGCAGGAAAACCGGCAAGUUCAGAGAGCACCAAGGACCCGCAAGUUUCAACCCCGAGCUACAAAAUAUUCUCCUUUAUUGAGAUCGGCGAGCGCUCGGGACAAGCGCUGGGAUUGGAAAGCGGCUUGGCUGGACCAGACGUUGGGCGGAAAAGCAGAAGAACUGGAGCCGUCUGCGAAGGACCUUGGCAGUUGCGGAUGAAUGGUCGCUGCCCUGUAUCAGAGGCUUUGCCUGUCCAAAGAGCAUCAUCACCUGGUUUUUCUGCUGCCAAUUUAGGAAGCUCCAUAGUAAUGUUGGAAGGUAAAAGCUUUUAUGAGACCUCUGUUAGCCAGUCCACACAUCAACCGCAACCGUCCCUGACCCACAGGUGAAUUCAAAGAAACACUGAAACUUUUCUGCCCAAUUUCUGACAAUUGACAUAAGGAAAUAAACAGAUAUCAGCAACACAAAAAAGUCAAAUACUUUCUACCUUGACUUCAAGCAGGUGUGCUCAUUUACUUGGCUGUGAAACAGGCCAGAAUUGUCUUCUAACAACGAUGGUUUUAUUUUAUUUGUUUUGUUGUAUUUAGGUGAUAGACCCGCAUAAAGCUAAUAACAUUGUGCUGUUGUAAUUUCAACAGGGAAAAAGGGGCAGGGAGCCAUGGUUUUUCUAUAUUCCAUGUUGUAGAAUGAUAUGGCUGAUUAAAAACAAAAUUAUGUCCUCAGCCUUCCAAAGCCCCAAACCAUCAACGAUCAAGCUGUGGAAUUCUAAUAUGCAGAAAGAGCAAAUUAAAUCAUUUUAAAAAUGUCUUGGAUUUAUUAGGACUACAGGUGGUGCAAAGGUUAAAGUGCUGUAUUGUAGGCAAACUCUGUCCACAGUCUGGAGUUCGAACUGUUGCGGCAUAAGGUUGCCUCGGCCUUCCAUCCUUCCGAGAUUGGUAAAAGGAGGUUGUUGGGGGCAAUAUGCAAGUAAUGCUUUGACACUGUAAACCAUCCAGAGAAUGCUGGGAAGCACUGUGGGGCAGUAUCAGUGGUGGGAUUCAGCUGGUUCAGGCUGGUUCGGGUGAACUAGUAGUUAAAUUGCUGUCUGUGGCCCUCCCCCUCCCUGCCCCGCCCCUUCCAGGAGUCCCCACACACCUCAAUUUGGCUCCCAGGUAAGUGCAAGGAGGCCUACUAGGGUCAAAACGGGGCGUGGGGGGGACACGUCCCCCCGCGGCCCGUUUUUGCUCCCAGGGGGGUGCAGGAAGCCGAGUGCUGCCUGUCACACCCCCUGGCCACGCCCACCAUGGUCACGCCCACCCAGCCGGUCAUUAGGGCAGAGAACCGGUUGUUAAAUUAUUUGAAUCCCACCACUGGACAGUAUAUAUACCUAAAUGUUACUGCUCUUUCUCUCUGGAUUUGCAUGAUAUACCAAACAUAUAAGAGGCUAAAAUGUGAUUGGCUAGUUUAUAAUGGAUGUGUAAAUAUUGUCCAUCUAGAUGUUUAAUCUCAGUCAAAUUUAAGACUGGCCUGGGGUUUUCCUGAAUUGUCUUAUGAUUGACCCACCAUUUAGGCAAGUCUUGUACUCCUUGUUAAGGCACUCAUUGAGUUUUAUAACUUUAAUAAAAUAAAUAAAUUGAAUUCCUUGUCUAAUGUAUUGGUUUUGAUUGGUCUUCCUCAUGUCUUCAGUGGCUAGCCAAUUUCAGAAAAGCUAAAAAGACUCAAAAGGUCCAUGGAAAUCACUGGAAAAAUCCCAGAGGUUAUGAACUGAACUGGAAAACAU